RNAcentral lists this ribosomal RNA (877 nucleotides) under uncultured bacterium. Its description in RNAcentral is "bacterial SSU rRNA". It matches the Rfam family "Bacterial small subunit ribosomal RNA", at positions 9 to 873 of the family's 1533-position model. The record is from RNAcentral.
GGCUAGAGUUUGAUCAUGGCUCAGGAUGAACGCUAGCUACAGGCUUAACACAUGCAAGUCGAGGGGCAUCAGGAAGAAAGCUUGCUUUCUUUGCUGGCGACCGGCGCACGGGUGAGUAACACGUAUCCAACCUGCCCUUUACUCGGGGAUAGCCUUUCGAAAGAAAGAUUAAUACCCGAUAGCAUAAUGAUUCCGCAUGGUUUCAUUAUUAAAGGAUUCCGGUAAAGGAUGGGGAUGCGUUCCAUUAGGUUGUUGGUGAGGUAACGGCUCACCAAGCCUUCGAUGGAUAGGGGUUCUGAGAGGAAGGUCCCCCACAUUGGAACUGAGACACGGUCCAAACUCCUACGGGAGGCAGCAGUGAGGAAUAUUGGUCAAUGGGCGUUAGCCUGAACCAGCCAAGUAGCGUGAAGGAUGAAGGCUCUAUGGGUCGUAAACUUCUUUUAUAUAAGAAUAAAGUGCAGUAUGUAUACUGUUUUGUAUGUAUUAUAUGAAUAAGGAUCGGCUAACUCCGUGCCAGCAGCCGCGGUAAUACGGAGGAUCCGAGCGUUAUCCGGAUUUAUUGGGUUUAAAGGGAGCGUAGGUGGACUGGUAAGUCAGUUGUGAAAGUUUGCGGCUCAACCGUAAAAUUGCAGUUGAUACUGUCAGUCUUGAGUACAGUAGAGGUGGGCGGAAUUCGUGGUGUAGCGGUGAAAUGCUUAGAUAUCACGAAGAACUCCGAUUGCGAAGGCAGCUCACUGGACUGCAACUGACACUGAUGCUCGAAAGUGUGGGUAUCAAACAGGAUUAGAUACCCUGGUAGUCCACACAGUAAACGAUGAAUACUCGCUGUUUGCGUUAUACAGUAAGCGGCCAAGCGAAAGCAUUAAGUAUUCCACCU